Molecule: small nuclear RNA, 165 nt
Organism: Gopherus evgoodei (Goodes thornscrub tortoise)
Lineage: Eukaryota; Metazoa; Chordata; Testudines; Testudinidae
Gene: U1
Rfam family: U1 spliceosomal RNA
About the family: U1 is a small nuclear RNA (snRNA) component of the spliceosome (involved in pre-mRNA splicing).
Source: Ensembl
AUACUUAUCUGGUAGGGGAAAUACCAUGAUCAUGGGGGUGGUUUUCCUAGGGUGAGGCUGAUUCAUUGCACUUGUGGGUGUGCCGACCUCUGCAAUUUCCCCAAAGGCGGGAAACUUGACUGCAUAAUUUGUGGUAGCGGGGAACUGCGUCCAUGCUGUCCCCUG